GACCAGACUCCUACGGGAGGCAGCAGUGGGGAAUAUUGCACAAUGGGGGAAACCCUGAUGCAGCAACGCCGCGUGAGUGAAGAAGUAUUUCGGUAUGUAAGGCUCUAUCAGCAGGGAAGAAAAUGACGGUACCUGAGUAAGAAGCCCCGGCUAACUACGUGCCAGCAGCCGCGGUAAUACGUAGGGGGCAAGCGUUAUCCGGAUUUACUGGGUGUAAAGGGAGCGUAGACGGCGAUACAAGUCUGAAGUGAAAGCCCGGGGCUCAACCCCGGGACUGCUUUGGAAACUGUGUUGCUGGAGUGCUGGAGAGGCAAGCGGAAUUCCUAGUGUAGCGGUGAAAUGCGUAGAUAUUAGGAAGAACACCAGUGGCGAAGGCGGCUUACUGGACUGUAACUGACGUUGAGGCUCGAAAGCGUGGGGAGCAAACAGGAUUAGAUACCCGGGUAAC
This 448-nucleotide ribosomal RNA is filed under the name uncultured bacterium. Its description in RNAcentral is "bacterial SSU rRNA". It matches the Rfam family "Bacterial small subunit ribosomal RNA", at positions 329 to 794 of the family's 1533-position model. The record is from RNAcentral.